This 201-nucleotide non-coding RNA is filed under the name Foraminifera environmental sample. The record is from RNAcentral. Lineage: Eukaryota; Foraminifera.
AAAGGAAAAAGAAAGAACAUAACAAACAGUCGGUGACCCUUCUUUUGUUUUUUUUGAGCAUCCAAAUUGUUCUUGUUUUGCGUUUCUGUGUUUUUUGUUGUUGGUUUGCAAGGUUUUAAAUAAUCCUCACAUGAAAUCUAAAACAAGAGGCAAUGAAUGUUAGUUUUAGUUAUAAUUCAGUUUGAGUAGAAUUGUAAUAAU